AACGCACCUUGCGCUCCUUGGUAUUCCGAGGAGCAUGCCUGUUUGAGUGUCAUUAAAUUCUCAACCUCACCAACUUUGUUGUGUGGAGGCUUGGAUGUGGGGGUUUGCAGGUCCGCACUCGUGUGGUCUGCUCCUCUAAAACGUAUUAGUGGGUUAGUCCCCUAAUCUAUUGGUGUGAUAAUUAUCUACGCCGUGGAUUUGGAAGGCUAUCAUAGACCUGCUUCUAACCGUCCUCUGGACAACUUUGACAAUUUUGACCUCAAAUCAGGUAAGACUACCCGCUGAACUUAA
RNAcentral lists this unclassified non-coding RNA (291 nucleotides) under uncultured Agaricales. RNAcentral's name for it is "sequence contains ITS2". The stretch from base 1 to 52 matches the Rfam family "5.8S ribosomal RNA", at positions 103 to 154 of the family's 154-position model. The record is from RNAcentral. Lineage: Eukaryota; Fungi; Basidiomycota; Agaricomycetes; Agaricales.